This 186-nucleotide unclassified non-coding RNA is filed under the name uncultured Ascomycota. RNAcentral's name for it is "sequence contains ITS2". The record is from RNAcentral. Lineage: Eukaryota; Fungi; Ascomycota.
CAACCCUCGACUGCCCCUUGGGGCGUCGGCGUUGGGGGACGGCGUGGCUGGCCCGGGCUUGCCUGGGCCGAUGCCUCGCCGCCCCCGAAAUGCAGUGGCGACCCCUCCGCGGCCUCCCCUGCGCAGUAGCAAACGCUCGCACCGGAGCCCGACGAGGCCUUGCCGUAAAACCCCCAACCCAGCAAA